CGGUCUUUAAGACACAAGACUCACAAACACUUUGGCAGCUGGACGUCCCGACCGAGGAAAAGGUGAAAAUAAAAUGCUAAAAUCAGGAUCAUGAUACUGGAAACAAGGACGUCGUCCUUCUUCCGGGACAUCCAGCUGUUCUGUCAUCAAACGUGGCACAAAGCAGAAGCUGCUGAACGAGGGCAUGAACUGAAUGGAUCUGAAUUCCAGAAAUCUGGGACCAACGGAGUUCCUGAACCAAUAAGAGACGCCUUUGGAGGGAAGCUGUCAGCUGAUGUCAGCCUAGAGUUUCUGACGGCAUGUGGCAACAGACUGAUUUCAGCCAAACUGCAGCUGGA
Long non-coding RNA from Melanotaenia boesemani (Boeseman's rainbowfish), 338 nucleotides. RefSeq lists it as uncharacterized. The transcript is spliced from 3 exons. NCBI's taxonomy places the organism in Eukaryota, Metazoa, Chordata, Actinopteri, Atheriniformes, Melanotaeniidae. The record is from RefSeq and is a predicted model, not a curated record.